GACGAACGCUGGCGGCACGCUUAACACAUGCAAGUCGAACGAGAGAAGAGAAUCUUGCUUUUCUGAUCUAGUGGCGGACGGGUGAGUAACACGUGAGCAAUCUGCCUUUCAGAGGGGGAUACCGAUUGGAAACGAUCGUUAAUACCGCAUAACAUAAUUGAACCGCAUGAUUUGAUUAUCAAAGAUUUAUCGCUGAAAGAUGAGCUCGCGUCUGAUUAGCUAGUUGGUAAGGUAACGGCUUACCAAGGCGACGAUCAGUAGCCGGACUGAGAGGUUGAUCGGCCACAUUGGGACUGAGACACGGCCCAGACUCCUACGGGAGGCAGCAGUGAGGAAUAUUGCACAAUGGAGGAAACUCUGAUGCAGCGAUGCCGCGUGAGGGAAGAAGGUUUUAGGAUUGGAAACCUCUGUCUUCAGGGACGAAAAAAGACGGUACCUGAGGAGGAAGCUCCGGCUAACUACGUG
RNAcentral lists this ribosomal RNA (465 nucleotides) under uncultured bacterium. Its description in RNAcentral is "partial 16S ribosomal RNA". It matches the Rfam family "Bacterial small subunit ribosomal RNA", at positions 28 to 507 of the family's 1533-position model. The record is from RNAcentral.